RNAcentral lists this long non-coding RNA (1457 nucleotides) under Cairina moschata (Muscovy duck). RNAcentral's name for it is "domestica (muscovy Duck (domestic type)) lncRNA (ENSCMMG00000012596.1)". Lineage: Eukaryota; Metazoa; Chordata; Aves; Anseriformes; Anatidae. The record is from RNAcentral.
GUACUCAUCUCCAAAAUCCAACAGCAACAGGUCAAACAAGCCUUGGAAUCUAAGCUAAUAGCCUAAGAAGAAGGACAUCAGAGCAGCUUCUCAUAAUCUGCAGCUUUCAGAAAUAAGACAUAAAAUUCUGAGCAACCCACACAAUCUCAAGGACAAACAUGAAAAGAUAUAGUGGGACUAAUGGACAAUCAGAAGAUAUUUUUAACUUCAGGUAUCACUGAUGAUGGAGUUGAUGAGGAAAAAGUAAAAUGUUCCUGUGGUUAAGAAGCUCUGUCUUCCCCUGUGUCUGCCUAGAGAACCUGAAUGUGAACAAGUCUGUGGGACGUGAUGAGAUGCAUCUGCAGGUCCUAAGGGAACUGCUGGAUGAAGUUCACAGAAUCAUUGAGGUUGGAAAAGACCUCAAAGAUCAUCUGGUCCAACCAUCACUCUACUACCAACGGCACCCACUGAACCAUGUUCCUAAGCACCAAGUCCACCUUUACUAAAACACUCCCCGGGACAGUGACUCCACCACUUCCCUGAGUAACCCGUUCCAAUGCCUGACUACUCUUUCUGAGAAGAAAUGUCUACAAAUUUCCAGAGUAAACCUCCCCUGGAACAACUUGGGGCCAUUCCCUUUUGUCCUAUCACUACUUAUCUGUGAGAAGAGGCUGACAUCCAGCUCCCCACAAUUUCCUUUCAGGCAGUUGUAGAGACCAAUAAGGUCUUCCCUGAGCAUCCUCUUCUCCAGACUAAACAACCCCAGUUUCCUUAGCCAUUACUCACAGGACUUGUGUUCCAGGCCCUUCACCAGCUUCAUAACCCUUCUCAGACACACUCUAGGGCCUUAAUGUCUUUCUUAUAAUGCCCAAAGCUGAACACAGUACUCGAGGUGUGGCCUCACCAGAGCAGAAUACAAGGGGACAAUCACCUCCCUGGUCCUGCUGGCUACACUGUUCCUGAUACAUGCCAGGAUUUUUGGUCACCUGGACACACUGCUCAUUCAGGGGAGCAUCAAUCAGCACCCCCAGAUCUUUUUCCUCUGCACAGCUUUCGAGCCAAUCUUCCCCAAGCCUGUAGCUCUGCAUAGGGUUUUCGUGGCCAAAGUGCAGGACCCUCCACUUAGUCAUGUUCAGCCUCAUCCCAUUGGCCUCUGCUCAUCCACCCUGUACAGAUCCCUUGCAGGGCCUUCUUGUCUUCUCGCAGAUCAACACUCCCCUCCAACUUGGUGUUGUCUGCAGACUUACUGAGGGUGUACGCCAUUCCCUCAUCCAAAACAAGAUAUUAAAGAGGAUGGGCCCCAACACCUACCCCUGGGAAGACCACUUGUGACUGGUCAUCAGCUGGCUUUCACUAUGUUCAACACUACUCUCUGGGCUCAGCCAUCCAGCCAGUUUUUACCUCAGCAAGGACUGUACCUGUCCAAGACACAGACUGCCAGCUUCUCCAAGAGAACACUAUGGGAGACUGUGUCAAAG